CCGGAUAUGAGGAGCGGCCGCAUGGUCGGCUUCUGGAAAGAUUUUUCGGUCUGGGAUGGGCUCGCGGCCUAUCAGCUUGUUGGUGAGGUAAUGGCUCACCAAGGCGUCGACGGGUAGCCGGCCUGAGAGGGUGACCGGCCACACUGGGACUGAGACACGGCCCAGACUCCUACGGGAGGCAGCAGUGGGGAAUAUUGCACAAUGGGCGGAAGCCUGAUGCAGCAACGCCGCGUGAGGGAUGACGGCCUUCGGGUUGUAAACCUCUUUUAGCAAGGAAGAAGCGGAAGUGACGGUACUUGCAGAAAAAGCGCCGGCUAACUACGUGCCAGCAGCCGCGGUAAUACGUAGGGCGCAAGCGUUAUCCGGAAUUAUUGGGCGUAAAGAGCUCGUAGGCGGUUUGUCGCGUCUGCUGUGAAAACUGGAGGCUCAACCUCCAGCCUGCAGUGGGUACGGGCAGACUAGAGUGCGGUAGGGGAGAUUGGAAUUCCUGGUGUAGCGGUGGAAUGCGCAGAUAUCAGGAGGAACACCGAUGGCGAAGGCAGAUCUCUGGGCCGUAACUGACGCUGAGGAGCGAAAGGGUGGGGAGCAAACAGGCUUAGAUACCCUGGUAGUCCACCCCG
This 620-nucleotide ribosomal RNA is filed under the name Microbacterium sp. Its description in RNAcentral is "bacterial SSU rRNA". It matches the Rfam family "Bacterial small subunit ribosomal RNA", at positions 169 to 802 of the family's 1533-position model. Lineage: Bacteria; Bacillati; Actinomycetota; Actinomycetes; Micrococcales; Microbacteriaceae. The record is from RNAcentral.